GCAUUAAUGGGGUAGUGGUAACCUGGGUCGUUGCCACCUAUGAGCAGAUACUAAUGUCUUCGACCCGCCGGGGGUUCGAUUCCCUCUUAAUGCA
Dendrothele bispora CBS 962.96 is the source of this 94-nucleotide non-coding RNA. The record is from the annotation of a GenBank genome assembly. Lineage: Eukaryota; Fungi; Basidiomycota; Agaricomycetes; Agaricales.